RNAcentral lists this ribosomal RNA (274 nucleotides) under uncultured bacterium. Its description in RNAcentral is "partial 16S ribosomal RNA". It matches the Rfam family "Bacterial small subunit ribosomal RNA", at positions 523 to 796 of the family's 1533-position model. The record is from RNAcentral.
AUACGAAGGGGGCUAGCGUUGUUCGGAAUUACUGGGCGUAAAGCGCGCGUAGGCGGAUACUUAAGUCAGGGGUGAAAUCCCGAGGCUCAACCUCGGAACUGCCCUUGAUACUGGGUAUCUUGAGUUCGAGAGAGGUAAGUGGAAUUCCGAGUGUAGAGGUGAAAUUCGUAGAUAUUCGGAGGAACACCAGAGGCGAAGGCGGCUAUCUGGCUCGGUACUGACGCUGAGGCGCGAAAGCGUGGGGAGCAAACAGGAUUAGAUACCCCAGUAGUCC